UAGUAACAAUAACCCUUUCUGGGUCGGUGUGAGGGGAGUGCGGAGAGGAUUUCUCCUCUCUGCCGAGCGAAUCUCUGCCGUCCAAUUCACAUGAAAAAAUAAAAAUCCCCACUUAAUCGCUCUAGGAUUUCCGAUCUCGAAUCUUCCUCAAUCUCAAUCUGAAACCAACCAAACAGUCCAUCCGUAUCUGGAUAUUAGUGAUGUAAAUUCCAGCAUAAAUAUCUGGUAGGGUUCUUUGACGAAUCCAGACGCAUUUGCAGAUCGCAAUCCAGAACAGGAAGAACGAAAUCCCGACCGAUUGUGAUUUCGUUCGAUCGGCAAUGGAACAAGAGAGCCAGAAAAGAGAGGCCGACGGCACUGGCAUCCGAUCCCCAAACAUGCCGAUCCUCUGCUCCAACAACUGUGGAUUCUUCGGCAGCGCUGCGAAUCGUAAUCUCUGCUCCAAAUGCUACCGAGAUCUCUUUCUGCAGAAAGCCAAGAUCGACGGUGACGAUGGCUCUGCUGUGGAACAGAAGCCAGUUAAGAUUGAUGGCGGGGAUCAAGUGGGGACUGAUAAUUCUGAUGAUCCUGCGGGGAAGGAGCCUCCGUCGGCUAACCGCUGUGGGUCGUGCAGGAAGCGGGUCGGUCUCACCGGAUUCAAGUGCAGGUGUGGGCAGACGUUCUGCUCCCUCCAUCGGUACUCAGACAAGCACGGGUGCCCUUUUGAUUACAAGGGCGCAGGCCAGGAAGCGAUCUCGAAGGCAAAUCCUGUGGUGAAGGCAGACAAGGUCGAGAAGAUCUGAUCAGUGGAGAUAAGCGUAAUUUCUUACCCACGACCAGGGUUACUCUGUGAUUUAUGCUGGUGUUGUUGAUAAUGGAUUUUGGUCACCCAGUUUGGACAUGGGUGUCUCUCCAAAUCCAGAAAUUUCAGUACUAGAAGCUGCUUUAUCAAGUGCAACAUGGUAUUAACACCAUCCUUGAUGAAGGAACAGGUGUUAGCUUGAGUCCAGUGAACCAAAUCUCAAGUCCAUGGCCAUGGUCUCCUCAGCAAAAUGUGACACGCAUCUAUGGAAACUACAUCACCCGACACUUCAUCCUGGCACUCAAAUUUGCUAAAGAAGGAUAUUAAGCACCUGCAGUUAAUAGAGCUUUAAACCUGUUAUGAACUAAUAUGUUAAGGUCAUGGGUAUUCAUGUUCUUUCAGUUUUAGUUUA
Magnolia sinica is the source of this 1193-nucleotide RNA transcript. It is a transcript of the gene named zinc finger A20 and AN1 domain-containing stress-associated protein 6-like, with no coding region annotated. NCBI's taxonomy places the organism in Eukaryota, Viridiplantae, Streptophyta, Magnoliopsida, Magnoliales, Magnoliaceae. The transcript is spliced from 3 exons. The record is from RefSeq and is a predicted model, not a curated record.